This 948-nucleotide ribosomal RNA is filed under the name Triticum aestivum (bread wheat). Its description in RNAcentral is "partial small subunit ribosomal RNA". The record is from RNAcentral. Lineage: Eukaryota; Viridiplantae; Streptophyta; Magnoliopsida; Poales; Poaceae.
UCCGGCCAGGCCGUCGGCGGCGGCAGCAAGAACAGCCGCAAUGUGGAGGACGUGGGUGCGGUGCGGCUGUUCGUGCGCCUGCCGAUCAACUCGGUGACGGACGGUGCGAUGGUGAACACCGCCAGGGGCAUCGAGGCCGGGAUGCGCGCCGUGAAGCUCAUGGGCGUGGACGGCGUGGAGCUGCAGGUGUUCUGGUCCGUGGUGCAGCCGGAGUCGCCGGACAAGUUCUCGUGGGCCGGGUACCGCGCCGUGGCCGAUAUGGCCCGCGACGAGGGCCUCAGCCUCCGCGUCUCCCUCCGCAUCCACGGUUCGCCGGGCGGCAACGCCCCCAAGCUCCUGUCCUGGGUCGGCGCCGCCGCCGCCAAGGACCGCGACAUCCUCUUCACCGACGGCGCCGGCGGGCGCCACGAGGACUGCCUCUCCUUCGCCGUCGACGAGCUCCCCGUGCUCGCCGGAAUGCCCCUCCAGCGCUAUGAGGCCUUCUUCUGCAGCUUCGUCGACGCCUUCGAUAACCUUUUCGAGUCCACCAUCGCCGACGUGACGGUGGGGCUGGGGCCGAACGGCGAGCUCCGGUACCCGUCGUACCCGCCGGGGAGCGAUGUGACCCAGUUCAUCGGCAUGGGCGAGUUCCAGUGCUACGACAAGUACAUGCUGUCGCAGCUGAGGCAGCACGGGGAGGCGCUGGGCAACCCGAUGUGGGGCCUCGCCGGCCCGCACGACGUGCCGCGGUACAACGAGUCGCCGGACUCGAGCGAGUUCUUCCGCGACCACGGCUCGUGCGACAGCCCCUAUGGCGACUUCUUCCUCUCCUGGUACGCAGGGAAGCUCCUCCACGGCGACCGCGUCCUCGGCAUGGCGAGCCGCGUGUUCGGCAGCAAGCUGGUGGAGCUCUCGGCCAAGGUGCCGUUCAUGCACACGUUCAUCGGCCCGGCAUGGACAUGUGCAUGA